Molecule: ribosomal RNA, 428 nt
Filed under: uncultured bacterium
Lineage: Bacteria
Description: bacterial SSU rRNA
Rfam family: Bacterial small subunit ribosomal RNA
Source: RNAcentral
AGGAAGAAUAUUGGUCAAUGGGGGAAACCCUGAACCAGCAAUGCCGCGUGAAGGAAGAAGGCCUUCGGGUUGUAAACUUCUGUGACGGGGGACGAAGCAAGUGACGGUACCCCGAGAGGAAGCCCCGGCAAACUACGUGCCAGCAGCCGCGGUAAUACGUAGGGGGCGAGCGUUGUCCGGAAUUACUGGGCGUAAAGCGCGCGUAGGCGGCUUUACAAGUCGCUUGUGAAAGCCCCGGGCUCAACCUGGGGAUUGCAGGCGAAACUGUAGGGCUUGAGUGCGGUAGAGGAAAGUGGAAUUCCUAGUGUAGCGGUGAAAUGCGCAGAUAUUAGGAGGAACACCAGUGGCGAAGGCGACUUUCUGGGCCGUAACUGACGCUGAGGCGCGAAAGCGUGGGGAGCAAACAGGAUUAGAAACCCUAGUAGUCC